AGGUCCGGCAUAAUCUCGGGAAACUGAGGAUAAUUCCGGAUAGCUCUUUUUGGCUGGAAUUGCAUUAAGAGUCAAAGUUCUUCGCCUAAGGAUGGGUCUGCGGCCUAUCAGGUAGUAGAGGGUGUAACGCACCUUCCAGCCGACAACGGGUACGGGUUGUGAGAGCAAGAGCCCGGAGAUGGAUUCUGAGACAUGAAUCCAGGCCCUACGGGGCGCAGCAGGCGCGAAAACUUUACAAUGCAGGAAACUGUGAUAAGGAAACACCGAGUGCCCGCAUCUAAUGCGGGCUGUCCAUAUACUCAAAAAGUAUGUGUUAGCAAGGGCCGGGCAAUACCGGUGCCAGCCGCCGCGGUAAUACCGGUGGCCCGAGUGGUAGCCGCUUUUAUUUGGUCUAAAGGGUCCGUAGCCGGUCCGGUCAGUCCAUUGGUAAAUCCGCGCGCCCAACGCGCGGUCUUCAGUGGAUACUUCCGGACUUGGGACCGGGAGAGGUAAGAGGUACUAUGGGGGUAGGAGUGAAAUCUUGUAAUCCUUAUGGGACCACCUGUGGCGAAGGCGUCUUACCAGAACGGGUCCGACGGUGAGGGACGAAAGCUGGGGGCACGAACCGGAUUAGAUACCCGGGUAGUCCCAGCCGUAAACUAUGCCCGCUGGGUGUCAGGCAUGGCGUGACUGUGUCUGGUGCCGUAGAGAAGUCGUGAAACGUACCACCUGGGAAGUAUGGUCGCAAGGCUGAAACUUAAAGGAAUUGGCGGGGGAGCACCACAACAGGUGGGGCCUGCGG
This 781-nucleotide ribosomal RNA is filed under the name uncultured archaeon. RNAcentral describes it as "bacterial SSU rRNA". It matches the Rfam family "Archaeal small subunit ribosomal RNA", at positions 117 to 900 of the family's 1478-position model. The record is from RNAcentral.